RNAcentral lists this long non-coding RNA (209 nucleotides) under Elaeis guineensis (African oil palm). Its description in RNAcentral is "long non-coding RNA (EGUI_LNC009476)". The record is from RNAcentral. Lineage: Eukaryota; Viridiplantae; Streptophyta; Magnoliopsida; Arecales; Arecaceae.
ACCUUUCUCCAUGCACAAAGUAUUUUUGUGUGAAAUUUUUUAUACCAUUCUAAUAUUGUUCAACCACUAUCUAAGUUUUUAAAUAAAGAUAAAAUUUAAUUCAAAGUUUAAUUCAAAUUUGAUUUGAAUUGAUGAUAAGGAUCAACCAAUGUUUGAACUUAAACCAAAACUACCUUAUUCUUAUCCUUAUCUUUCAUGGGAUGCCACCC